Molecule: ribosomal RNA, 497 nt
Filed under: uncultured bacterium
Lineage: Bacteria
Description: partial 16S ribosomal RNA
Rfam family: Bacterial small subunit ribosomal RNA
Source: RNAcentral
GAUGAACGCUGGCGGCGUGCCUAAUACAUGCAAGUCGAGCGAACAGACGAGGAGCUUGCUCCUCUGACGUUAGCGGCGGACGGGUUAGUAACACGUGGAUAACCUACCUAUAAGACUGGGAUAACUUCGGGAAACCGGAGCUAAUACCGGAUAAUAUAUUGAACCGCAUGGUUCAAUAGUGAAAGACGGUUUUGCUGCCACUUAUAGAUGGAUCCGCGCCGCAUUAGCUAGUUGGUAAGGUAACGGCUUACCAAGGCAACGAUGCGUAGCCGACCUGAGAGGGUGAUCAGCCACACUGGAACUGAGACACGGUCCAGACUCCUACGGGAGGCAGCAGUAGGGAAUCUUCCGCAAUGGGCGAAAGCCUGACGGAGCAACGCCGCGUGAGUGAUGAAGGUCUUCGGAUCGUAAAACUCUGUUAUUAGGGAAGAACAAAUGUGUAAGUAACUAUGCACGUCUUGACGGUACCUAAUCAGAAAGCCACGGCUAACUACGUG